AUUGAACGCUGGCGGCAGGCCUAACACAUGCAAGUCGAGCGAGCGGCGGACGGGUGAGUAAUGUCUGGGGACUGCCCGAUCGAGGGGGCUAACUACUGGAAACGGUGGCUAAUACCGCUUACUAUCGGAUAACCCAUAUUGGAUUAGCUAGUAGGUGGGGUAAAGGCUCAACUAGGCGACGAUCUCUAGCUGGUCUGAGAGGAUGAACAGCCACACUGGGACUGAGACACGGCCCAGACUCCGACGGAGGCAGCAGUGGGGAAGAUGGCACAAUGGGCGCAAGCCUGAUUCAGCCAUGCCGCGUGUAUGAAGAAGGCCUUAGGGUUGUAAAGUACUUUCAGCGGGGAGGCGUUACCCACAGAAGAAGCACCGGCUAACGCCGUGCCAGCCGCCGCGGUAAUAC
This 403-nucleotide ribosomal RNA is filed under the name uncultured bacterium. Its description in RNAcentral is "partial 16S ribosomal RNA". It matches the Rfam family "Bacterial small subunit ribosomal RNA", at positions 30 to 526 of the family's 1533-position model. The record is from RNAcentral.